UGAUCGAUGGAGUAAAGUAUUGAUCAAA
Molecule: small RNA, 28 nt
Filed under: Bombyx mori (domestic silkworm)
Lineage: Eukaryota; Metazoa; Arthropoda; Insecta; Lepidoptera; Bombycidae
Description: ovarian small RNA-32665
Source: RNAcentral